CAAUAGCGUAUAUUAAAGUUGUUGCAGUUAAAAAGCUCGUAGUUGGAUUUCUGCUGAGGACGAUCGGUCCGCCCACUGGGUGAGUAUCUGGCUCGGCCUUGGCAUCUUCUUGGAGAACGUUGCUGCACUUGACUGUGUGGCGCGGUAUCCAGGACUUUUACUUUGAGGAAAUUAGAGUGUUUCAAGCAGGCGCACGCCUUGAAUACAUUAGCAUGGAAUAAUGAGAUAGGACCUUGGUUCUAUUUUGUUGGUUUCUAGAGCUGAGGUAAUGAUUAAUAGGGAUAGUUGGGGGCAUUCGUAUUUAACUGUCGGAGGUGAAAUUCUUGGAUUUGUUAAAGACGGACUACUGCGACAGCAUUUGCCAAGGAUGUUUUCAUUGA
Molecule: ribosomal RNA, 380 nt
Filed under: uncultured eukaryote
Lineage: Eukaryota
Description: partial 18S ribosomal RNA
Rfam family: Eukaryotic small subunit ribosomal RNA
Source: RNAcentral